RNAcentral lists this ribosomal RNA (253 nucleotides) under uncultured bacterium. Its description in RNAcentral is "partial 16S ribosomal RNA". It matches the Rfam family "Bacterial small subunit ribosomal RNA", at positions 524 to 776 of the family's 1533-position model. The record is from RNAcentral.
UACGUAGGGUGCAAGCGUUUUCCGGAUUUAUUGGGUUUAAAGGGUGCGUAGGUGGCUUUUUAAGUCAUGGGUGAAAGCCCGCAGCUCAACUGUGGAAUUGCCUGUGAUACUGAGGAGCUUGAGUGCGGUUGAGGCAGCUGGAAUUGGCGGUGUAGCGGUGAAAUGCAUAGUUACCACCAGGAACACCGAUUGCGAAGGCAGGUUGCUAAGCCGUAACUGACACUGAGGCACGAAAGCGUGGGGAGCAAGCAGG